This 255-nucleotide ribosomal RNA is filed under the name uncultured prokaryote. Its description in RNAcentral is "partial 16S ribosomal RNA". It matches the Rfam family "Bacterial small subunit ribosomal RNA", at positions 521 to 774 of the family's 1533-position model. The record is from RNAcentral.
UAAGACGAACCGUGCGAACGUUAUUCGGAAUCACUGGGCUUAAAGCGCGUGUAGGCGGGGCGGCACGUCGGUCGCUGAAAGCCCCCGGCUCAACCGGGGAACGGGCGCCGAUACGACCGCCCUCGAGGGACGUAGGGGGACCUGGAACUUCCGGUGGAGCGGUGAAAUGCGUUGAGAUCGGAAGGAACGCCCGUGGCGAAAGCGAGGUCCUGGACGUCUGCUGACGCUGAGACGCGAAAGCCAGGGGAGCGAACG